Molecule: ribosomal RNA, 419 nt
Filed under: uncultured bacterium
Lineage: Bacteria
Description: bacterial SSU rRNA
Rfam family: Bacterial small subunit ribosomal RNA
Source: RNAcentral
CUACGGUCCAGACUCCUACGGGAGGCAGCAGUGGGGAAUAUUGGACAAUGGGCGCAAGCCUGAUCCAGCUAUGCCGCGUGAGUGAGGAAGGCCUUAGGGUUGUAAAACUCUUUCAGUAGGGAAGAUAAUGACGGUACCUACAGAAGAAGUCCCGGCAAACUCCGUGCCAGCAGCCGCGGUAAUACGGAGGGGGCAAGCGUUGUUCGGAAUUAUUGGGCGUAAAGGGCAUGUAGGCGGUUUGGUAAGUUAGAGGUGAAAUCCCAGGGCUCAACCCUGGAGCUGCUUUUGAUACUGCAGGACUAGAGUCCGGGAGAGGAUAGCGGAAUUCCUAGUGUAGAGGUGAAAUUCGUAGAUAUUAGGAGGAACACCAGUGGCGAAGGCGGCUGUCUGGUCCGGUACUGACGCUGAGGUGCGAAAGC